AGAGUUUGAUCCUGGCUCAGAAUCAACGCUGGCGGCGCGCCUAACACAUGCAAGUCGAGCGAGAAAGGGGAGCAAUUCCUGAGUACAGCGGCGUACGGGUGAGUAACACGUGGAUAAUCUGCCCUUUUGUGGGGAAUAACUUUGGGAAACCGAAGCUAAUACCGCAUAAGCCCGAGAGGGGAAAGCAGCAAUGCGCAGAAGGAGGAGUCCGCGGCCGAUUAGCUUGUUGGCGGGGUAAUGGCCCACCAAGGCAACGAUCGGUAGCCGGCCUGAGAGGGCACACGGCCACACUGGCACUGAGACACGGGCCAGACUCCUACGGGAGGCAGCAGUGGGGAAUCUUGCACAAUGGGGGAAACCCUGAUGCAGCGACGCCGCGUGAGUGAUGAAGCCCUUCGGGGUGUAAAGCUCUUUCGACGGGAACGAUAAUGACGGUACCCGGAGAAGAAGCUGCGGCUAACUACGUGCCAGCAGCCGCGGUAAUACGUAGGCAGCAAGCGUUGUUCGGAAUUAUUGGGCGUAAAGAGUAUGUAGGCGGUUGGCUAAGUUUGGUGUGAAAUCUCCUGGCUUAACUGGGAGGGUGCGCUAAAUACUGGUCAGCUUGAGUGUGGGAGAGGAGAGUGGAAUGCCUGGUGUAGCGGUGAAAUGCGUAGAUAUCAGGCGGAACGCCGGUGAUGUAGAUGGCUCUCUGGACCACAACUGACGCUGAGAUACGAAAGCGUGGGUAGCAAACAGGAUUAGAUACCCUGGUAGUCC
RNAcentral lists this ribosomal RNA (756 nucleotides) under uncultured bacterium. RNAcentral describes it as "bacterial SSU rRNA". It matches the Rfam family "Bacterial small subunit ribosomal RNA", at positions 8 to 796 of the family's 1533-position model. The record is from RNAcentral.